Camelina sativa (false flax) is the source of this 1820-nucleotide non-coding RNA. The record is from RefSeq and is a predicted model, not a curated record. NCBI's taxonomy places the organism in Eukaryota, Viridiplantae, Streptophyta, Magnoliopsida, Brassicales, Brassicaceae.
AUCUCUGAGUUCAGUCGCUCUAAUCACUUUUAUCCAUUCUCCAGUGAGGAAGGAACCAAAAAAAAUAAAAUCUUAAGACUUUGGCCAAAGAAAAAGAAAAAAAUGUCACUCUUCUUCCUCAAUCCUCCAUUUCCCUCCAACUCAAUCCACCCAAUUCCUCAUCGCGCCGCCGGUUUGUCUUCCAUUGGUUGCUCGAUUUCUCGGAAGCGGUGAAGCUGUCUCGGCCCUGGAGAGGAGUCUCCGCCUCACUUUUAUGGAAAGACCUAGAAAUCGAGACACUUCCGAGGUUAUCUAUGACCUGAUUGCCGCUGGGCUUAGCCCUGGACCUCGUUCUUUCCAUGGCUUAGUCGUUGCUCACGCGCUUAACGGCGACGAACAAGGCGCGAUGCACUCGCUUAGAAAGGAGUUAGGUGCAGGCCAAGGCCAACGUCCGCUUCCUGAAACAGUGAUUGCUUUGGUUCCACUCUCAGGUUGAAACGCUACGAGAGGCUUGGAAAUCCUUGCCGCUAUGGAGCAGCUUAACUAUGACAUUCGUCAAGCUUGGCUCGUUCUUGUUAAUUGAGGAGCUCAUGAGAACCAAUCACUUGGAAGAUGCAAAUAAAGUUUUCUUGAAGGGUGCUAGAGGUGGGAUGAGAGCAACAGAUCAGCUUUUUGAUCUGAUGAUUGAAGAAGACUGCAAAGCUGUAGAUCAUCCUAUAAUACCUUAGACAUCUCUUACGAAACGGAGGCAGCUGGUAGAAUGGCGACAACAUUUCAUUUCAACUGUCUUCUUCUUAGUUUGCAGGCUACAUGUGGGAUUCCCGAGGUUGCUUGCUUAUGCGACAUUUGAAAAUAUGGAGUAUGGCCAAGCUUGAUUUGAUAGAUUUUAUGAAGCCCAACACUGAGACAUAUAACUGGGGCCGAGUCAUAUGAGGUUUAGUUGCCUUGAAGAUUGGAAAAUUCACCAUAGGGAAGCUCUUGAGAACCUUACAGAGUGAAGGUCUUCCAGUUUUAGGAGAUGCAUCAGAAUCUGAUUACAUGAGAGUGAUGGAGAGCUUUACGAAACAUAAUAAGAGGUCCUGCACAUAAUCUUUUUUGAAGCCAAAAGCAGCAAACAAGAUGGCUGUAUCAGAGUUAAAGGAAGAACUUGAAGCUCAGGGUUUGCCAAUUGAUGGAACCCGGAAUGCUCUUUACCAGCGAGUCCAAAAAGCAAGGAGAAUAAACAAAUUGAUGGAACAAGGAAACGUCCGUUUCUUGGAGAAGGCUUGAUUGAAACUUCAGUUGAAUCCAACGAAACAGUAGCUACAGUUGAGAGUCGGAGAACAAAAUUAAAGAUGUUGCAAAAGAAGCUGAUGAUGAUCAAAAGGGGAGGAUUUAGUUAAGAAUAAGACAGCUGAAGCUAAGAAGAAGCAUCUUCAAAUGAUUGGAGUCCAACUCUUAAAAGAAUCUGAUGAAGCAAACAGAACAAAGAAACGCGGGAAGAGGGCAUCUCUUAUGACACUUGAGGAUGAUGCAGAUGAGGAUUGGUGUCCCUGAGGACACAUUCGAAGCAUUCAAAGAAAUGAGGGAAAGGGAAAGUACUUGGAAAAGGAAACGAUUUGCUUCGUGAUUUUUUAUCGACUUGAUGAAGAAGAUACUGAUGAUAAGAAGAAGAAGGAGAAGGAGAAGGAUGAGGGUAAUAAUGAGGACUGAGGAGGAAUCUGGGGAUGACAGUGAGAAAGAGAUGACUGAUCUGAAAUCUGAGGCGGAAUCAGAGGAAGAGAGUGAUACUGGACAAGAAGCUAAAGCUUGCUUCUUUGGAGGAAGAGUCUAAUGAUGAAGCUGACUCCGAUGAGCUGAGU